This is a small nucleolar RNA of Drosophila melanogaster (fruit fly), 151 nucleotides long. Lineage: Eukaryota; Metazoa; Arthropoda; Insecta; Diptera; Drosophilidae. The record is from Ensembl.
UGUUGUCCAAUGCACGCUCAACUGCCCAUUUUCCAGGGUAGCAGAGUGCUAUUUUGAAGGACAUAUAGAAAACCCAUCGACAAUCUUACCAAAUGUCUGGCCUAUUUCGUGGGCCUUGCAUUUCCUUUAAAUUGUCAAACAAUUAGGUAUA